This 253-nucleotide ribosomal RNA is filed under the name uncultured bacterium. RNAcentral describes it as "partial 16S ribosomal RNA". It matches the Rfam family "Bacterial small subunit ribosomal RNA", at positions 524 to 776 of the family's 1533-position model. The record is from RNAcentral.
UACAGGGGGGGCAAGCGUUGUUCGGAAUUACUGGGCGUAAAGGGUGUGUAGGCGGUUGUUUAAGUUUGGUGUGAAAUCUCCCGGCUCAACUGGGAGGGUGCGCCGAAUACUGAAUGACUAGAGUGCGGGAGAGGUGAGUGGAAUUCCUGGUGUAGCGGUGAAAUGCGUAGAUAUCAGGAGGAACACCGGUGGUGUAGACGGCUCACUGGACCGUAACUGACGCUGAGACACGAAAGCGUGGGUAGCAAACAGG